UGAUCGACGGAAGGACGCGAUGGUCUGGGCUGGAAAGUGGAAUUUGAUUGGCUGUGGGGCAGGGCCGCGGGGCUGAGGACGGGCACUGGGGAAGGACAAACUAGGUCAGGAUGGCGCUCCGCCAUAGCAACGGGAGUGUUGGGGCGUUGCUAAGGAGGCCGGAGGAGGCGGUGCGGGGAUGGCAGCGGCCAAUGUGGCCCCAGCAGAAACCAACUUAUCUCCCACCAUAGACGGCUUGGAAGAAAGUCUGCAGAAACUUAAAGUUCAAGUGGACAGCUUAGCCUCAAGUCUGAGUUUUGACAUGGAUCAAAAUGGUGGCACAGAUUCUGACACUGCAGGCAGCUCAACUACUUUUAGACCUGAAUGGCUACAAAUUUAUAAUGCAAGCUAUGUGGAGACAGGUCCUGGGAAUACACCUAAGCAGCUUGCAGAGUCAGAGUGGUUUCUAAAGCCUAGGCAUCUAGUCAAAUCUUUAGGUGAUUACCCAGCACUAACAAACUUAAGUCUUCCAGUGUUCUCUGCAUCUGCAGUCAGUCAUGUGGCUGGGCUGGGAAGUGAAACCAUAAGCAAAAAUGAUUUGCUGUUGGAGGAUCUGGUAAAUACCAACUCAUUUCCUGUAAAGCUUGGAGCUCCACAUGUUAUUGGAGUUAAGUCUGUCUUACACCCAAAAGUCCCAGUGAGAACUUGCUCUCAUGAGAGAGUCAGUUCUUUCUUAGACCAAGGUAGCUCUCUGUCUGUUGAAUGUGCAGGGAAUUACCGAUCCCGCUCAUUUUCUCCUGCUUCAAAAAAAAGCCGCUGGCUAAGGUCUCGCUCCCAGUCUCCCAAGUCCAUUUGGAGGCCAAAUUCUGCAAAGGCAAAUGCUUGUGCCCAGCCUCUGCCAAACUGUGGCAGAUUCAGGUGCAGCAGAAAGACAACAGCAUCAACCAGACAGUCGCGAUCUAGAACACACAAACUGGGGUCCCUGGCUGCCAGAUCCCAUACUCCAACUAUGAUGAAUGCAGGGGGAAUACUCAGUUCCUCAUGGAGCCCUUACAGUCUGCCAUCUGCUACUAUGUCCUCACCAGCAGCUCAGGACGUUAAUGAAAGGUGUGCGAUGAGAAGCUCCCAGUUCCAUUAUGAAGCCCACAAGAACAAUGAGUUGCUGAGAGGCAGCCAAGACUUGCAGUCUGCGUGUAACAACAGACCAGAACUGAAGUCAGCAUCCAAGAAACUCCAAGAGCAUUAGAAAGCCAUCCAGCUGGACUCUCUAACAACACAAAUUUUUGAGGGAGAUUUUAUUAACCUGUACUGGGAGAAGACACCAUCAGAGAUUUCAGCCUCAUAAUGCAGAAAGGCUCAUGCGCUAUGCUUUUUUUUCCCCCUCUCUCCUGAAAGCUUCAGAAAAAAUGCAGACUCAAUAAGCCAAAUAGGCCAAAUCUAGGCUUGAAGCACCCUUUAGAUUUUGAAAACAACAGGCCACCUUUGGCAACAAACUAGCAGACUAAUUUAUUCAUUUACCUUUCUGCUAAGGACAAGGAAAACAAAACAAAAAAAAUUUGUAUGCUUAUGCUUUAUACAGAGCUGUAUUUCGCUUUGUGAAAACUACUCCUAAUCAAAUUGCUUGUAAUGUGAAAAAAAAAACCAUAAAUAGGGACAAGAAGAAAGUUACCUAUAGUAGCUGUAUAGAGUCAGAAACAUACAUAAAGCUCAUGUAUAAAAUCCUGCAGCCUGAAAUAAGUUGUAGAAUGCAGCCUAGAUCAGCUCCAGUGUUCAAAAGCAGGCCAGUGGUAGUCAUUCAGGUAUCUUUUUCCUUGUAAACCUUCUUGGUUUCUCCAAAACAUUGACUUGACUAAGUCUCUGAAAAAGUGUCUGGCCCCCCCCAACCCACACACACUACUGCCUUGAAAGACUAGCGUAUCUGAGUUAUGGUUGUACUUUGACAUCACAGUAAAUCUGGGAUUACGCAGGGGAAGGCUGCAAGCUAGAUGCAUCUAUGAGCAAGUUUGUUCCAAGUGAAUACAACCUAGCAAAAUUCAGGAACUGAGAGAAAUAUGCUGACUGCUUCCUGCAGAAAACCAUUAGGUGUCUAGGUAAUAGAUGAGUUGGGUGGGAUAGCUUCAGUCCAGUUCCUGAUGGAUCAGGACCUACCUAGAAGGUGAUGUUCAGAAAACCCACAAUGUCUUGAUACAGGAAGGCAGAAGAAUCUUGCAUUGCCAAAGAACAUGGAAACUGACACACUAGAUCAUACUAGCAGUUUCAUAUAAUCAAUUCUUUAAUAUUUACUAUCUUUAACAUUAAUAUUUAAGACUGUCUUUCAUCUUUAACAUUAAUAUAAUUAAUUCUUUAAUAAUAACCCACACCACAUGCAUCAAAAAGGGGAAAGGACCACAUAGAAAACUUGGGAAUAGCUCACCCACAGAUGAAGCUCUUUAUAGUCCCCAUAGGCAGAAUUCAGCUCUUACUAGGAGCCCUGAUGGCUUGUGCUCUCAUCCUAUAAAGGUGUGUGGGUGUCACACCCACUAAUUCAGUGCAGAUGGGAUGC
Dromaius novaehollandiae (emu) is the source of this 2521-nucleotide long non-coding RNA. RefSeq lists it as uncharacterized. Lineage: Eukaryota; Metazoa; Chordata; Aves; Casuariiformes; Dromaiidae. The record is from RefSeq and is a predicted model, not a curated record. The transcript has 3 exons.